UACGGAGGGCGCGAGCGUUAAUCGGAAUUACUGGGCGUAAAGCGUGCGUAGGCUGUUUGGUAAGUCAGGCGUGAAAGCCCUCGGCUCAACCGGGGAACUGCGUUUGAUACUGCCGGACUCGAGUCCCGGAGAGGGUGGCGGAAUUCCUGGUGUAGGAGUGAAAUCCGUAGAUAUCAGGAGGAACACCGGUGGCGAAGGCGGCCACCUGGACGGGUACUGACGCUGAGGCACGAAAGCGUGGGGAGCAAACAGGAUUAGAUACCCUGGUAGUCCACGCGGUAAACGAUGGAUGCUAGGUGUCGGGGAGCGAUCUUCGGCGCCGCAGCUAACGCAUUAAGCAUCCCGCCUGGGGAGUACGGUCGCAAGGCUGAA
RNAcentral lists this ribosomal RNA (372 nucleotides) under uncultured bacterium. RNAcentral describes it as "bacterial SSU rRNA". It matches the Rfam family "Bacterial small subunit ribosomal RNA", at positions 524 to 898 of the family's 1533-position model. The record is from RNAcentral.